Molecule: ribosomal RNA, 443 nt
Filed under: uncultured bacterium
Lineage: Bacteria
Description: partial 16S ribosomal RNA
Rfam family: Bacterial small subunit ribosomal RNA
Source: RNAcentral
CCUACGGGUGGCAGCAGUGGGGAAUAUUGGGCAAUGGGCGCAAGCCUGACCCAGCAACGCCGCGUGAAGGAAGAAGGCUUUCGGGUUGUAAACUUCUUUUCUCAGGGACGAAGCAUGUGACGGUACCUGAGGACUAAGCCACGGCUAACUACGUGCACGCAGCCGCGGUAAUACGUAGGUGGCAAGCGUUAUCCGGAUUUACUGGGUGUAAAGGGCGUGUAGGCGGGACGGCAAGUCAGAUGUGAAAUCCACGGGCUCAACCUGUGGCCUGCAUUUGAAACUGUAGUUCUUGAGUGCUGGAGAGGCAGACGGAAUUCCUAGUGUAGCGGUGAAAUGCGUAGAUAUUAGGAAGAACACCAGUGGCGAAGGCAGUCUGCUGGACAGCAACUGACGCUGAGGCGCGAAAGCGUGGGGAGCAAACAGGAUUAGAUACCCUUGUAGUC